This 253-nucleotide ribosomal RNA is filed under the name uncultured bacterium. RNAcentral describes it as "partial 16S ribosomal RNA". It matches the Rfam family "Bacterial small subunit ribosomal RNA", at positions 524 to 776 of the family's 1533-position model. The record is from RNAcentral.
UACGUAGGGUGCGAGCGUUGUCCGGAAUUAUUGGGCGUAAAGAGCUCGUAGGCGGCCUGUCGCGUCGGAUGUGAAAACUCGGGGCUUAACCCCGAGCCUGCAUUCGAUACGGGCAGGCUAGAGUGCGGUAGGGGAGACUGGAAUUCCUGGUGUAGCGGUGAAAUGCGCAGAUAUCAGGAGGAACACCGGUGGCGAAGGCGGGUCUCUGGGCCGUAACUGACGCUGAGGAGCGAAAGCAUGGGGAGCGAACAGG